This 383-nucleotide ribosomal RNA is filed under the name uncultured bacterium. RNAcentral's name for it is "bacterial SSU rRNA". It matches the Rfam family "Bacterial small subunit ribosomal RNA", at positions 29 to 410 of the family's 1533-position model. The record is from RNAcentral.
AUUGAACGCUGGCGGAAUGCUUUACACAUGCAAGUCGAGCGGCAGCGCGGGGGCAACCCUGGCGGCGAGCGGCGAACGGGUGAGUAAUACAUCGGAACGUGUCCUUCAAGUGGGGGAUAGCUCGGCGAAAGCCGGAUUAAUACCGCAUAAGCUCUGAGGAGGAAAGCGGGGGACUGGUAACGGCCUCGCGCUGUUGGAGCGGCCGAUGUCGGAUUAGCUAGUUGGUGGGGUAAAGGCCCACCAAGGCGACGAUCCGUAGCUGGUCUGAGAGGAUGAUCAGCCACACUGGAACUGAGACACGGUCCAGACUCCUACGGGAGGCAGCAGUGGGGAAUUUUGGACAAUGGGGGCAACCCUGAUCCAGCCAUUCCGCGUGAGUGAAG